Molecule: ribosomal RNA, 480 nt
Filed under: uncultured bacterium
Lineage: Bacteria
Description: partial 16S ribosomal RNA
Rfam family: Bacterial small subunit ribosomal RNA
Source: RNAcentral
GACGAACGCUGGCGGCGCGCCUAACACAUGCAAGUCGAGCGAUGAAAUUUUAACCGAUCUCUUCGGAGAGAAGAUAAAAUGGAUUAGCGGCGGACGGGCGAGUAACACGUGAGAAACCUGCCUUUCACAAGGGGAUAGCCUCGGGAAACCGGGAUUAAUACCCUAUGACACAUUUCCUUCGCAUGGAAGAAAUGUUAAAACUCCGGUGGUGAAAGAUGGUCUCGCGCCUGAUUAGCUAGUUGGUGGGGUAACGGCCCACCAAGGCCAUGAUCAGUAACCGGCCUGAGAGGGUGAACGGUCACAUUGGAACUGAGACACGGUCCAAACUCCUACGGGAGGCAGCAGUGGGGAAUAUUGCACAAUGGAGGAAACUCUGAUGCAGCGACGCCGCGUGAGCGAUGAAGGCUUUCGAGUCGUAAAGCUCUGUCCUAUGGGAAGAUAAUGACGGUACCAUAGGAGGAAGCCCCGGCUAACUACGUG